GCCAAGCGCGGUGGCGCAUGCCUGUAGUCCCAGCUAUUCGGGAGGCUGAGGCUGGAGGAUCUCUUGAGUCCAGGAGUUCUGGGCUGUAGUGCGCUAUGCUGAUUGGGUGUCCGCACUAAGUUCAGCAUCAAUAUGGUGACCUCCCGGGAGUAGGGGACCACCAGGUUGCCUAAGGAGGGGUGAACCAGCCCAGGUCGGAAACAGAGCAGGUCAAAACUCUCAUGCUGAUCAGUAGCAGGAUCACACUUGUUAAUAGUCACUGCACUCCAGCCUGGGCAACAUAGCGAGACCCUGUCUCU
RNAcentral lists this signal recognition particle RNA (299 nucleotides) under Aotus nancymaae (Ma's night monkey). RNAcentral describes it as "Metazoan signal recognition particle RNA (ENSANAG00000012649.1)". It matches the Rfam family "Metazoan signal recognition particle RNA". Rfam says of the family: The signal recognition particle (SRP) is a universally conserved ribonucleoprotein. Lineage: Eukaryota; Metazoa; Chordata; Mammalia; Primates; Aotidae. The record is from RNAcentral.